This 887-nucleotide long non-coding RNA is filed under the name Daphnia pulex (common water flea). RNAcentral's name for it is "uncharacterized LOC124195993, transcript variant X1". Lineage: Eukaryota; Metazoa; Arthropoda; Branchiopoda; Diplostraca; Daphniidae. The record is from RNAcentral.
UUUAAAACUACUGAUAUGGAACGAUAAGUCUUCGUUACGCAAGUCCGCCGCCAUUUUUUUUCGAGCACUGAUUGAAAGCGUAUCAAUAGAUAAUCCGUACGGCGUAUUUUCCUUCCUGACAUUUUUCUUCAUAAAAAUGGAAAUUUCAGCUGAUCAUGUGGCCUGAGCAUCUGUACAUUUUGCCAAGAUGUUGUCUCUUUUUCCUGUACUGGCUGUACGUUUUGUAAGAAACACUUCAGAACAAAUCAGUGAUAAACAGUCUGGCAAAGUCUGAGCUUCGUCGUUGCUGCCCAAUGUACACAUGGAUUUGAUGCAGCCAGCUGGUAAAGGGUCCUUUGCUACCUGUACUGCUGUGUGUUUCGUCAAAUGAAGAAACAUGAACAGCUGAAGUUUAUCGUGUAUGUUCGCGUAGUUGCUGUCCGCUGUGGUACGUUGUUGCAGCCUAUGCUGGUUAUAGAUCUUUCUGCAUCAAAUUCAAUUGGCCGUUUGGUGCUGGUGUCGUGUUACCGAAGUUGCAUUAUUAUUUUAUGAAAUUGGCAUUGUGUCAAUGUAGUAUACCGUUAAUAUGUUAAGAAGGAACAAAAAAGAAAUAUGGGGAUGUUUAUGUCAAACAAAUAAUAAACAUGUUUUCGGGAUUGGGAAAGGAAAGAGGAGGAUGUGGAAGGGGGAUAUUUCAAGUUUGGUUAAAAAACAGUUAAUUUAUAACCCUACAAACAUAUCCCUACCAAUUAAUCUCCAAACCCCACAAACUUAUACCUUCCAAUUCUUCAGACCCCAUAAACAUUACACCUAUCAACCCUCAAAUGUAUACCCUAAACCACAUAAACCAAUGUCAAACCCUAUGUCUUUAAUAAAUAAAAAAAUUUAAUACAUCAAACUAGUUUUUA